This 71-nucleotide ribosomal RNA is filed under the name Sordariomycetes sp. MD7. RNAcentral describes it as "partial 18S ribosomal RNA". Lineage: Eukaryota; Fungi; Ascomycota; Sordariomycetes. The record is from RNAcentral.
CUCCGUAGGUGAACCUGCGGAGGGAUCAUUACUGAGUUACCGCUCUAUAACCCUUUGUGAACAUACCUCAA